UAGGGAAUCUUCCGCAAUGGGCGAAAGCCUGACGGAGCAACGCCGCGUGAGUGAUGAAGGUCUUCGGAUCGUAAAACUCUGUUAUUAGGGAAGAACAAAUGUGUAAGUAACUAUGCACGUCUUGACGGUACCUAAUCAGAAAGCCACGGCUAACUACGUGCCAGCAGCCGCGGUAAUACGUAGGUGGCAAGCGUUAUCCGGAAUUAUUGGGCGUAAAGCGCGCGUAGGCGGUUUUUUAAGUCUGAUGUGAAAGCCCACGGCUCAACCGUGGAGGGUCAUUGGAAACUGGAAAACUUGAGUGCAGAAGCGGAAAGUGGAAUUCCAUGUGUAGCGGUGAAAUGCGCAGAGAUAUGGAGGAACACCAGUGGCGAAGGCGACUUUCUGGUCUGUAACUGACGCUGAUGUGCGAAAGCGUGGGGAUCAAACAGG
RNAcentral lists this ribosomal RNA (429 nucleotides) under Actinomycetes bacterium. Its description in RNAcentral is "Actinobacteria bacterium partial 16S ribosomal RNA". It matches the Rfam family "Bacterial small subunit ribosomal RNA", at positions 355 to 776 of the family's 1533-position model. RNAcentral also lists the same sequence under 1 other name. Lineage: Bacteria; Bacillati; Actinomycetota; Actinomycetes. The record is from RNAcentral.